Molecule: long non-coding RNA, 349 nt
Organism: Lemur catta (Ring-tailed lemur)
Lineage: Eukaryota; Metazoa; Chordata; Mammalia; Primates; Lemuridae
Exons: 3
Source: RefSeq, a predicted model, not a curated record
ACACCUUUGUAAAGACCUCUGUGUUCACCUAGAGCCUUCUAGCUGCAAUCUCCUUGAGAAGAGGGACUACGCACCUCAUGUUCACAUUCUACCUCCAAGCCUUGCAGAGCUCUCAGAAUCUCUGUUACAGUUUCUGCAUCUUCACUGGAUUCUGCGUCAAAGAGCGUUGAGGAAAAAAUCCAAAGAAGAGACCUCCAACGAACAAUUUUAUGUACACAAUGUCUGCUACCAGCGCCCUACAAGUUUUUUUUCCCUACAUACCACUGGAUCCACUCUGUAUACUCAACAUUUGAAAGUAGUUUUCUAUUUUACAUUUUCUUAAUUCUAAUUAAACAAAUCUUAAUCUUGA